CAUCUCAUGUAAUCUUCAUUCCAAACAAAGUAUGGCAGUCGUUUUAUUUAUACUUUUGCCAUGAACACAAGACUAGAUGGUAUAUUUAUUUCCCCUAUAUCCAUUCAUUCAUACAUGCCUUUUUGCAAACAUAUGUACACACACAACCAAUCUCGCCUCUCUCUAUAUGCAUAUUAGAGCCCAAAUUCAUCAUCAUCAUUCUGGAGUUUAGGAGUCAAGUUCAUAUCUCAUACAUCUUUGUUCCUUCCUUAAUUUUUAUGUAGGUCACGACAAGGUUAUUUCAAGCUUUGGGAUUUCUUUGUCUUUUUUUGAUAUAUGGAGUAUUAUGCUUUGCUGACCAGGUUGCAUUUUUCAAAACUACGGAACUGUUGGAAUAGGGGAACCCAUGGGAAUUCGAGUAAUUAGCAGGCGUUAUAUUUCUAGAAGUCUUAGCUUAUUUGCUUCCGCUGUGCAAUGAAGAUACCGGUCCAGUCACGCCAGCUCUGAUUUUUCAGGCUAUGACAAAAGGAAACAGAAGCCAAGCCUCCACGAAGGUUAAAGAAGCGUAAAGCUUCAAAGAAUCCCGCAGCGGUUGCACCAAAUCAAGCAGGACCUAGCCAGGUGGCAGCACCACCUGCCAAGAAGCCGUACUUGGGAACUGCUCCUUUGUGCAAUCAAUGUAACCUCCACCACCAUGCCAGUGUCAAAUGCCGAACAUGUUCCAACUGUGGACUUAUUGGCCAUACGGCAAGAGUUUGUCGUUCAGUCGCUGUGUUAAACCAAGCUGUUCCGAACCCUGUUCAAAUUCAAGCAGAUCCAGCACAAGCUCGUUUUCCUCCUGGUACUUGCUACACCUAUGGCGAGACGGGUUAUCUCAAGAACAAAGCCCAAAGAUUUUCAAUGCAAAUCUGACCCAUGGAUGAGCAUUUGGCUGAUUAGAAGAAGCUGCUGCUUUGAA
Helianthus annuus (common sunflower) is the source of this 937-nucleotide long non-coding RNA. RefSeq lists it as uncharacterized. The transcript has 3 exons. Lineage: Eukaryota; Viridiplantae; Streptophyta; Magnoliopsida; Asterales; Asteraceae. The record is from RefSeq and is a predicted model, not a curated record.